AUUUUUACAUCCAAACAUCUCUGGUGCUUCUUUCAUACAAGGUUCAUUUGAUUUAGUAAAAAACACAAGAUAGAUUGAACCUAUACGACUCAAACGGCCAAAUCAACCAUAGCGUAUUUCAUCAUGCGAACAAGAUAUAUCCCCUCUCAUUCACACCAAUUUCAGUGAAGUAGGAAGUUAUCACAUAGUUAUAAUAGGCGUCGAUUUGCCUCGGCCCAUGGAGAAUCCCUUAGUACCAUCUGGCAUACGAGGUACAGAAGAUUGCUUGGCUGCUGCUGACUGCUCAAGAACAGGCUUCCCUACACCAACACGGAUGAUAUUUGAGAGGGAAUUUCGCACAUUACUUCCACGAUUCACGUUUGAUAAGGGAGCUCCUAAAUGACCUCCACGAUUGUUUUGAUGAGACUGCGGACGUCCACGUCUCUGACCCUGUCCCUUACCCCGACCCCGACCCUGACCACGCCCACGCCUCUGCCCAUCACUGCCAUGCUCCUCUGCAAGCUCAUUGGAUUUAGCAUCAAUAUGGUGGCGUGACUCUUCAUUAAGCUUCUCGUUGACCUCUAAUGCAGAACCAUCAUCCCCCUUGAAGUUUUCACUAUCAUGACCAGCUUUUUUCCCUUGAGCUUGACCAGAUUUUUCUGAGCUUCUAAGAAGUAAUCGGACUUCCAGAGCAUUUCUCCAGUUAUCAUCAUUUAACUCUACAGCCGCCCUCUCAGCCAAUUCGGCGGUUUCGUAUUCCACAAAUGCGUGUAACUUGUUGCUGUGAAGAGUACUAUCUGACUUUGCUGUUCUAGAUCCUGAAGAUGCCCCACCAUUGGAAGACUGAGGUAAGCAGGUGCGUAUCAUUUUAACGCUUCCAACUGCUGAGAAAAUCUUCAUGAGAUUCUGAUGGCAAUGAUCCUCAGGCAAAUUUUCAGCAAUCACAAUUCGAGAUUGCAGUUCUUUUAAGUCGGUUUCGGCCAAAGGAAUUUUGCGUUUAACCUUCAUUCCAUCCUCACUAACAACCAGCUUUGUAGAGCUCCGCAGAACUUGAGCAAGCUGUGCAUGAUUACGUAUAAGAGCUUUAAUCUUCUUGAACAACGCAACUACAGAUAUUGGUACAUAACCUUCCUGAUCCUUGAGCAUAUGCUUUAUUAAAUGAUCA
RNAcentral lists this unclassified non-coding RNA (1144 nucleotides) under Hevea brasiliensis (rubber tree). The record is from RNAcentral. Lineage: Eukaryota; Viridiplantae; Streptophyta; Magnoliopsida; Malpighiales; Euphorbiaceae.